This 1143-nucleotide long non-coding RNA is filed under the name Fukomys damarensis (Damara mole-rat). RNAcentral's name for it is "lncRNA (ENSFDAG00000027395.1)". Lineage: Eukaryota; Metazoa; Chordata; Mammalia; Rodentia; Bathyergidae. The record is from RNAcentral.
CCCCACUGUGGUCGAAACCCCAGUAGUAUCAAACUGUGUGUGUGUGUGUGUAGUGGGUUUUCCUAUACAUAUAGUCAUAUGUAUACAUAUGACUGUGUACAUAUCAUGUACAUAUGUAUGUGAUAAAGUUUAACUUAUUAAUUGGGUGCAGAGAUUAACAACAAUUUGAUGUACUAUGUAAGUACACAAAUACUCUCCCAAUAUCUCAUCGUACUAUAUUCUCCCUUCUGCUUCUUGUCUAUUUAAAUUACAUUCUAAUAUUUUUAUUCUCUCAUUUUAGUGAAAAAGCACCUUGGUUCUGAUCCACCUGUGAAUGGGUCCUGGUGUCCGUUGUUUAGAAAAGAGAGGCUGGGCCGGGCGAGCCCCUCUGUAGAUGUUCAUCGGUGCAUGAAUGCGUGCAGAAUGGAUGGAUGGCAGAGCUGGGCAGGUUUCCACAAAACGACUCCGUGCUGUUUCAGUUCCUCGGGCUCGGUUACGUGGUUCUCAGGUCCUGUCAGGCUGCGAUACUGAAACGGGAGCACUGCCUACCCUCCAAGCUGUGGAGAGGACUCGGACACAAACAAGAACAGCGCAUCCGAUCCACCACGUGUUUCGCACCUGGACCCUGACCACAGCCCCCGCCCCUCUGCCUUCUCACCGGGCUGCUUGAGCAGCCGCCGCCAAGGAAAACGGACCGCAGGCCGACGCUGCUUCUCUGCCAAAGCCUCCUGUGACCGUCAACCCGUCCCGGACCAAAGGCCCUGCUCUCGUGAGCUGCGGGGCCCUGUGCGUCUGCCACCCAGCGACCCGUCUGUCCUCUCCCUGCCCCCGGCUCUGGACCACACCUNNNNNNNNNNNNNNNNNNNNNNNNNNNNNNNNNNNNNNNNNNNNNCGGGCUCUGCUGGGGGUGCCCGGGACCCACCUCCGCCCUCCCUCAGCCCCGCCCGCCUGCUCCCCACCCACACGCACACUCAUCACCACCUGUCGGCACCCUGCAAGGGCCCGGCCCUUGUCUCUGCCUCCUCUGCCUGCAGAGCGCCAUGGAGCGCAGGGUUCUUGUGCCCUGGCUGCAUUCAGGUGCCACACUCCGGCGUCUGCAGAGGAUUGGAUGUGAUUUGUCCCUUGCUGGCUCACGUGCCAGAGGCUUGGUCCUCAGUGUGGUGA